Acanthosepion pharaonis is the source of this 113-nucleotide non-coding RNA. The record is from the annotation of a GenBank genome assembly. NCBI's taxonomy places the organism in Eukaryota, Metazoa, Mollusca, Cephalopoda, Sepiida, Sepiidae.
UACGGCCAUAUCACGUUGAAACAAUGUCUCUUGUACGAUCACUGAAGUUAAACAACGUCGAGCUUGUUCAGUACCUAGAUGGGUGACCGCUUGGGAAUAGCAAGCGCUGUAAG